RNAcentral lists this ribosomal RNA (264 nucleotides) under uncultured bacterium. Its description in RNAcentral is "partial 16S ribosomal RNA". It matches the Rfam family "Bacterial small subunit ribosomal RNA", at positions 335 to 591 of the family's 1533-position model. The record is from RNAcentral.
UGCCUACGGGGGGCAGCAGUAGGGAAUCUUCGGCAAUGGGGGGAACCCUGACCGAGCAACGCCGCGUGAGUGAAGAAGGUUUUCGGAUCGUAAAGCUCUGUUGUAAGAGAAGAACGUGUGUGAGAGUGGAGAGUUCACACAGUGACGGUAACUUACCAGAAAGGGACGGCUAACUACGUGCCAGCAGCCGCGGUAAUACGUAGGUCCCGAGCGUUGUCCGGAUUUAUUGGGCGUAAAGAGAGCGCAGGCGGUUUGAUAGGUCUG